Molecule: transfer RNA, 81 nt
Filed under: Placozoa sp. H9 HM-2017
Lineage: Eukaryota; Metazoa; Placozoa
Description: tRNA-Leu
Rfam family: tRNA
About the family: Transfer RNA (tRNA) molecules are approximately 80 nucleotides in length. Their secondary structure includes four short double-helical elements and three loops (D, anti-codon, and T loops).
Source: RNAcentral
AGCUGUCAUGGCGAAAAAGGUAGACGCGGAAGAUUUAAAAUCUUUUCGAAAAUCGGUGAAAGUUCAAGUCUUUCUGACAGC